Molecule: long non-coding RNA, 373 nt
Filed under: Monodelphis domestica (gray short-tailed opossum)
Lineage: Eukaryota; Metazoa; Chordata; Mammalia; Didelphimorphia; Didelphidae
Description: lncRNA (ENSMODG00000039757.1)
Source: RNAcentral
AUGGUGAUCCUUUGCUUACUUGCAUUGUCUCUGUGUCUCCAUUCCUGGGGGAUUUUCUUGGACCCUACAUACCAAUAUGUAAUAUUGAUACUAAGAUGGAAGACUUGCCCAGGACUUGAGCACUUCCAAGCAUUGCCGGGCCCAGCCAGGAUCUCCAAAAUUCUAGAGAGAAGAUGAAGAAACUGAGGCAAACAAAGUUCAGUGACUUGCACAUGGCCACACAACUAGUAAGUGUUCAAGGUUGGAUUUGAACUCAGACCUUCCUAACUCCAGGCCUGACAUUCUGUCCACUAUUCCACUGAGCUACCUGGUAAUGUCUAGAGCAAGUCUCUGGAGCAAGAAGUCAUCAGGGACUCAUUAAGACCUUUUUAUU